AUUGAACGCUGGCGGCAUGCUUUACACAUGCAAGUCGAACGGCAGCGCGGGCUUCGGCCUGGCGGCGAGUGGCGAACGGGUGAGUAAUACAUCGGAACGUGCCCAGUAGUGGGGGAUAGCUCGGCGAAAGCCGGAUUAAUACCGCAUACGACCUGAGGGUGAAAGCGGGGGAUCUUCGGACCUCGCGCUAUUGGAGCGGCCGAUGGCAGAUUAGCUAGUUGGUGGGGUAAAGGCCUACCAAGGCGACGAUCUGUAGCUGGUCUGAGAGGACGACCAGCCACACUGGGACUGAGACACGGCCCAGACUCCUACGGGAGGCAGCAGUGGGGAAUUUUGGACAAUGGGCGAAAGCCUGAUCCAGCAAUGCCGCGUGUAUGAUGAAGGCCUUCGGGUUGUAAAGCACUUUUGGCGGGAACGAAAAGGACUGUGCCAAUACCACGGUUCGAUGACGGUACCCGCAGAAUAAGCACCGGCUAACUACGUG
Molecule: ribosomal RNA, 484 nt
Filed under: uncultured bacterium
Lineage: Bacteria
Description: partial 16S ribosomal RNA
Rfam family: Bacterial small subunit ribosomal RNA
Source: RNAcentral